GCCCCUGUAGCAUAGCCCGGUAAUGUACCGCUCUCGUAAAGCGGGGAUCGGGGGUUCAAAUCCCUCCAGGGGCU
This 74-nucleotide transfer RNA is filed under the name Candidatus Woesearchaeota archaeon. Its description in RNAcentral is "tRNA-Thr". It matches the Rfam family "tRNA". From Rfam's summary of the family: Transfer RNA (tRNA) molecules are approximately 80 nucleotides in length. The record is from RNAcentral. Lineage: Archaea; Nanobdellati; Candidatus Woesearchaeota.